Mus musculus (house mouse) is the source of this 3685-nucleotide RNA transcript. It is a transcript of the gene named F-box and leucine-rich repeat protein 4, with no coding region annotated. The transcript is spliced from 9 exons. The record is from RefSeq and is marked validated. NCBI's taxonomy places the organism in Eukaryota, Metazoa, Chordata, Mammalia, Rodentia, Muridae.
GCCCCGCCCCGCCUCCCGGCCUCGGUCUUCCUUCCGGGUCGCGCUGGGCCGGGCCCGCCGCCGCGGCAGCAGCACGGGAUACUGGGAGCCGUCUCCUGCUGCCCACGCUGCGGGCUUGCGGCGAAGCUCUGUUCGCCCAGUUCCGGACCCUGCAGGGCUGUCUCAUCUCAGCAUCUGUAGGUGAAAGCAGCAUGCAUGUUUCAGACACGUGGAUGGGCACCAACUCCUGUGCUUCCCGUGUGUGUCAGGUGACCUGUCAAGCCAGGACCAUCCUUCAGAGUUCAUGCAUCUCACCGAGGACACCUGACCUUUUGAAGCUUCAUAAUUCACGACUAGAUGUCACCAGUCUUUCCCAUGUUAACAGUUCUGACCAUGUUUUAUUAUAUGUGCCUUCGGCGUCGAGCCAGGACAGCUACAAGAGGAGAUAUGAUGAACAGCCAUAGGACUAUAGUGUCAAACAGCCGGACUUCCCCUCUCAAUGCAGAGGUGGUCCAGUAUGCUAAAGAAGUGGUGGAUUUCAGUUCCCAUUACGGCAGUGAGAACAGUAUGUCCUAUACCAUGUGGAAUUUGGCAGGUGUACCAAAUGUCUUCCCAAGUUCUGGUGACUUCACGCAGACGGCUGUGUUUCGAACUUAUGGGACGUGGUGGGAUCAGUGUCCUAGUGCUUCCUUGCCAUUCAGAAGGACACCGUCCAGUUUCCAGAGCCAGGACUAUGUGGAACUGACUUUUGAGCAGCAAGUGUACCCCACGGCUGUCCAUGUGCUGGAGACUUACCAUCCUGGAGCAGUCAUCAGAAUUCUGGCCUGCUCAGCAAAUCCCUACUCCCCAAAUCCUCCAGCUGAAGUAAGAUGGGAGAUUCUUUGGUCAGAGAGACCUAUGAAGGUGAAUGCUUCCCAGGCUCGUCAGUUUAAACCUUGUAUUAAGCAAAUAAAUUUCCCUACAAACCUCAUACGACUGGAAGUCAAUAGUUCUCUUCUGGAUUAUUACACCGAACUAGAUGCAGUUGUGCUGCAUGGUACGAAGGACAAGCCACUGCUCUCUCUCAAGACUGCUCUUGUAGACAUGAAUGAUCUAGAAGAUGACGACUAUGAAGAGAAGGAUGGCUGUGAGAUGGAUGCUCUUAACAAAAAGUUUAGCAGUGCUGCCCUUGGGGAUGGGCCACAUAAUGGGUAUUUUGACAAACUACCAUAUGAGCUCAUUCAACUGAUUCUGAAUCAUCUUUCACUACCAGACCUGUGUAGAUUAGCCCAGACUUGCAGGCUUCUCCACCAGCAUUGCUGUGAUCCUCUGCAAUAUAUCCACCUCAACCUGCAGCCAUACUGGGCCCGGCUGGACGACACGUCACUGGAGUUCCUACAGGCUCGCUGUGUGCUUGUCCAGUGGCUUAAUCUGUCUUGGACUGGCAACAGAGGGUUCAUCUCUGUAUCAGGAUUUAGCAGGUUUCUAAAGGUGUGUGGGUCUGAGUUAGUACGCCUUGAGUUAUCCUGCAGCCACUUUCUUAAUGACACUUGCUUGGAGGUUAUUUCUGAAAUGUGCCCAAAUCUACAAGACUUAAAUCUCUCAUCCUGCGAUAAACUCCCACCUCAGGCUUUUGGCCAUAUUGCCAAGUUAUGCAGCCUCAAGAGGCUUGUUCUCUAUCGGACAAAAGUAGAGCAAACAGCACUACUGAGCAUUUUGAACUUCUGUGCAGAGCUUCAGCACCUCAGCCUGGGCAGCUGUGUGAUGUCCCAGUGCUUAGGUCCUAUAAAGUGCAAGCAUGGACCCAAACAGUUCCAGUUUCCUGGGUCAGUCUUGGGAACCUACUAGAUUCAUGUACUUCAAGUCCAAUUCCUACGUUUGUAAGCAACCUUGUAGUCUUCUUUGGAGCCCUCUAGUAGCUCUUCUAAAGGAUCCCAGUGGCCCUCGAUGGCAGUUUCUAUGACAACAGACCAGCUGCUUGACUACAUAUUGCUUGCCUGCCCCACUAAGGAGGUGAACAAUCCAGGCUGGUUUGUGAAUGGGACUCCACAUUCCGCUGAGAGGUCUAGACUCUGCUCUUGAAGACUGUAUGUUCACACAUUGGAGCUCAAGGUUAGGACUAGAGCUCUGGUCAUCUCGUUCCCAUGUCAAACUGUAGACUGGGCAAAGGCACAGUACCCUUCCUCCCUUCAGGAUUCUUUCUAGAAGUAUCGGUCCUUUGCAGACUUAUUUCCUAACUAUCCAGAACUUAGUCAUAUGGCUCACUUUGUAGCAUGGGAAGGUAAGAAAUAUAGUCUAUAUUCGGAGUCAUCAUGGGAGCCAUUUAAAUUAGGAGUAAAAGUAAAAACCUGAAUGAGUGUAGUUCUGCCUUUACUCUCUACCUAGUCAGGCCCAUGAUGAGGAACAAGUGUGUAGGAAGAGAACAUAUGUAAUGCCCUGAACACUCUACAUUCAUAACUAGCUUCUACUGCUAUGCUGUCAAGUCUGGUAGCUGAUGGCCAGUUGGAAAUAUACUAGUUUCUAUUUUGUAUGAUGUAAAUACAACAUACAAGCCAACUUUUGAAAGCUUAGUAUGAAAAAUGUAAAAUAUUGUAAUAACUUGAUAUUGGUAACAUGUUGAAAUGGUAGUGUUGUUACAACUAGAGAAGAUAUUUUGUUAACAUUGAUUUUGUUUCUUUAUGCAAUUUAAUGGGUAAGUAAGCAGAGUCCAUGAGUUCUUUGCACUAUUUGGUGUUUCUUGAAGUAAUUUAAAGUUGUCUGGAACCCGCUUGCAUUUCCUUAGGUGUUCGGUUAAUUGUUAGCCUCUAGUCAAGCUCUCUUCUUUAUGGUAGGUCCUUGGUUACUAAGUGCUUAUCUGUAUCAUGAAGUAAGUCCUGGAGACUUUAGUCCUUAACACUGGUUAGCAUAUGAUAGUCUAAAGUCCUUUUGUAUUGUAUGUUUAGUCUAUAAAUUCAUACUUAACCCCAAACUAUUAUCCUAACUAGUAGUUACAGCAUUUCCACACAGUUUUAGAGACUACCAAAACAUAUAUCUUUGCCAGGGAAAGAUAAAAUAACCAGCUAAGUACAUUAAUCAUACAAAAGAAACUGGACGCUGCCAACAGGUAGCUGUGGCAGUGUUAAAACAGUAGGCAGAAGUACUCAUCAGAUUGUUCUUGAGGGGCUCAGGGUGGCUUUGGAAUUUAAUUCAUUAAUAUUCUAUCCAGUUCUAUUACAUGGAUCUUAUGUGAUUUUUUUGCUUUGUGUGUAUAAGUGUGCAUUUGUAUGUGAAAAUGUACAUGCACAUACAUGUGUAGACAGAGGUCAUUGUCACCCAGAUGUUAAUGUGGAUAUCUUCAAUAGCACUUUUCUGUAUUUUUGAGGCAGGGUUUCUCACUGAACCCAAAAUUCACCAAUUUGGCUAAACUCUCUGGCCAUGGAGCCCCAGUUGUAGCCCUGUAUCUCUCAGUGCUCUGAUCACAGGUGCUUGUGACCACCCCGGGUUCUCCAUGGGUGCUGGGGAUGAUACUCAGGUCCUCCCAUGCACACGACAAGCUCCCCACUAGAUGAGUGAUCUGCUUAGCUCUUUACUCUCACCUUUUAUGAAGCACCGAGAGCUUUGGGAUGGGUAAGCAAAUGUGCAUUAACCAGGACAUGGGUGUGUCUCUUUGAAAGCAGCAAUAAGAAAUGAUUAAGAAUGUUCUAGGCAAUUUAUCUUUCUGUCUGUGACAUGUAGAACUUGGAACUAU